RNAcentral lists this ribosomal RNA (429 nucleotides) under Actinomycetes bacterium. RNAcentral describes it as "Actinobacteria bacterium partial 16S ribosomal RNA". It matches the Rfam family "Bacterial small subunit ribosomal RNA", at positions 355 to 776 of the family's 1533-position model. Lineage: Bacteria; Bacillati; Actinomycetota; Actinomycetes. The record is from RNAcentral.
UAGGGAAUCUUCCGCAAUGGGCGAAAGCCUGACGGAGCAACGCCGCGUGAGUGAUGAAGGUCUUCGGAUCGUAAAACUCUGUUAUUAGGGAAGAACAAAUGUGUAAGUAACUAUGCACGUCUUGACGGUACCUAAUCAGAAAGCCACGGCUAACUACGUGCCAGCAGCCGCGGUAAUACGUAGGUGGCAAGCGUUAUCCGGAAUUAUUGGGCGUAAAGCGCGCGUAGGCGGUUUUUUAAGUCUGAUGUGAAAGCACACGGAUCAACCGUGGAGGGUCAUUGGAAACUGGAAAACUUGAGUGCAGAAGAUGAAAGUGGAAUUCCAUGUGUAGCGGUGAAAUGCGCUGAGAUAUGGAGGAACACCAGUGGCGAAGGCGACUUUCUGGUCUGUAACUGACGCUGAUGUGCGAAAGCGUGGGGAUCAAACAGG